RNAcentral lists this ribosomal RNA (241 nucleotides) under uncultured bacterium. RNAcentral's name for it is "partial 16S ribosomal RNA". It matches the Rfam family "Bacterial small subunit ribosomal RNA", at positions 15 to 257 of the family's 1533-position model. The record is from RNAcentral.
GAUCAUGGCUCAGAUUGAACGCUGGCGGCAUGCCUUACACAUGCAAGUCGAACGGCAGCACGGGAGCAAUCCUGGUGGCGAGUGGCGAACGGGUGAGUAAAGUAUCGGAACGUGCCCAGUCGUGGGGGAUAACGUAGCGAAAGUUACGCUAAUACCGCAUACGAUCUAUGGAUGAAAGCGGGGGGUUCGCAAGACCUCGCGCGAUUGGAGCGGCCGAUAUCAGAUUAGGUAGUUGGUGGGG